RNAcentral lists this ribosomal RNA (1522 nucleotides) under Salmonella enterica subsp. enterica serovar Derby. RNAcentral's name for it is "bacterial SSU rRNA". It matches the Rfam family "Bacterial small subunit ribosomal RNA". The record is from RNAcentral. Lineage: Bacteria; Pseudomonadati; Pseudomonadota; Gammaproteobacteria; Enterobacterales; Enterobacteriaceae.
AGAGUUUGAUCAUGGCUCAGAUUGAACGCUGGCGGCAGGCCUAACACAUGCAAGUCGAACGGUAACAGGAAGCAGCUUGCUGCUUUGCUGACGAGUGGCGGACGGGUGAGUAAUGUCUGGGAAACUGCCUGAUGGAGGGGGAUAACUACUGGAAACGGUGGCUAAUACCGCAUAACGUCGCAAGACCAAAGAGGGGGACCUUCGGGCCUCUUGCCAUCAGAUGUGCCCAGAUGGGAUUAGCUUGUUGGUGAGGUAACGGCUCACCAAGGCGACGAUCCCUAGCUGGUCUGAGAGGAUGACCAGCCACACUGGAACUGAGACACGGUCCAGACUCCUACGGGAGGCAGCAGUGGGGAAUAUUGCACAAUGGGCGCAAGCCUGAUGCAGCCAUGCCGCGUGUAUGAAGAAGGCCUUCGGGUUGUAAAGUACUUUCAGCGGGGAGGAAGGUGUUGUGGUUAAUAACCGCAGCAAUUGACGUUACCCGCAGAAGAAGCACCGGCUAACUCCGUGCCAGCAGCCGCGGUAAUACGGAGGGUGCAAGCGUUAAUCGGAAUUACUGGGCGUAAAGCGCACGCAGGCGGUCUGUCAAGUCGGAUGUGAAAUCCCCGGGCUCAACCUGGGAACUGCAUUCGAAACUGGCAGGCUUGAGUCUUGUAGAGGGGGGUAGAAUUCCAGGUGUAGCGGUGAAAUGCGUAGAGAUCUGGAGGAAUACCGGUGGCGAAGGCGGCCCCCUGGACAAAGACUGACGCUCAGGUGCGAAAGCGUGGGGAGCAAACAGGAUUAGAUACCCUGGUAGUCCACGCCGUAAACGAUGUCUACUUGGAGGUUGUGCCCUUGAGGCGUGGCUUCCGGAGCUAACGCGUUAAGUAGACCGCCUGGGGAGUACGGCCGCAAGGUUAAAACUCAAAUGAAUUGACGGGGGCCCGCACAAGCGGUGGAGCAUGUGGUUUAAUUCGAUGCAACGCGAAGAACCUUACCUGGUCUUGACAUCCACGGAAGUUUUCAGAGAUGAGAUUGUGCCUUCGGGAACCGUGAGACAGGUGCUGCAUGGCUGUCGUCAGCUCGUGUUGUGAAAUGUUGGGUUAAGUCCCGCAACGAGCGCAACCCUUAUCCUUUGUUGCCAGCGAUUAGGUCGGGAACUCAAAGGAGACUGCCAGUGAUAAACUGGAGGAAGGUGGGGAUGACGUCAAGUCAUCAUGGCCCUUACGACCAGGGCUACACACGUGCUACAAUGGCGCAUACAAAGAGAAGCGACCUCGCGAGAGCAAGCGGACCUCAUAAAGUGCGUCGUAGUCCGGAUUGGAGUCUGCAACUCGACUCCAUGAAGUCGGAAUCGCUAGUAAUCGUGGAUCAGAAUGCCACGGUGAAUACGUUCCCGGGCCUUGUACACACCGCCCGUCACACCAUGGGAGUGGGUUGCAAAAGAAGUAGGUAGCUUAACCUUCGGGAGGGCGCUUACCACUUUGUGAUUCAUGACUGGGGUGAAGUCGUAACAAGGUAACCGUAGGGGAACCUGCGGUUG